RNAcentral lists this non-coding RNA (31 nucleotides) under Rattus norvegicus (Norway rat). Lineage: Eukaryota; Metazoa; Chordata; Mammalia; Rodentia; Muridae. The record is from RNAcentral.
UUGGAUGUUUUUAAGCACCACAAACAGCCUU